RNAcentral lists this ribosomal RNA (468 nucleotides) under uncultured bacterium. RNAcentral's name for it is "partial 16S ribosomal RNA". It matches the Rfam family "Bacterial small subunit ribosomal RNA", at positions 28 to 507 of the family's 1533-position model. The record is from RNAcentral.
GACGAACGCUGGCGGCGUGCUUAACACAUGCAAGUCGAACGGAAAGGCCCUGCUUUUGUGGGGUGCUCGAGUGGCGAACGGGUGAGUAACACGUGAGUAACCUGCCCUUGACUUUGGGAUAACUUCAGGAAACAGGGGCUAAUACCGGAUAGGAGCUCCUGCUGCAUGGUGGGGGUUGGAAAGUUUCGGCGGUUGGGGAUGGACUCGCGGCUUAUCAGCUUGUUGGUGGGGUAGUGGCUUACCAAGGCUUUGACGGGUAGCCGGCCUGAGAGGGUGACCGGCCACAUUGGGACUGAGAUACGGCCCAGACUCCUACGGGAGGCAGCAGUGGGGAAUAUUGCACAAUGGGCGGAAGCCUGAUGCAGCAACUCCGCGUGCGGGAUGACGGCCUUCGGGUUGUAAACCGCUUUCGCCUGUGACGAAGCGUGAGUGACGGUAAUGGGUAAAGAAGCACCGGCUAACUACGUG